RNAcentral lists this unclassified non-coding RNA (19 nucleotides) under Mus musculus (house mouse). RNAcentral describes it as "oocyte_clustered_small_RNA7979". Lineage: Eukaryota; Metazoa; Chordata; Mammalia; Rodentia; Muridae. The record is from RNAcentral.
CCCACUGGUCCAGCCAAGU